GCCGACGUAGCUCAAGUGGUAGAGCAAGCGACUUGUAAUCGCUAGGUUGCGGGUUCGAUUCCCUCCGUCGGCUCCA
This 76-nucleotide transfer RNA is filed under the name Anaerolineaceae bacterium 4572_32.1. RNAcentral describes it as "tRNA-Thr". It matches the Rfam family "tRNA". From Rfam's summary of the family: Transfer RNA (tRNA) molecules are approximately 80 nucleotides in length. Their secondary structure includes four short double-helical elements and three loops (D, anti-codon, and T loops). The record is from RNAcentral. Lineage: Bacteria; Bacillati; Chloroflexota; Anaerolineae; Anaerolineales; Anaerolineaceae.